This 125-nucleotide small RNA is filed under the name Marmota monax (woodchuck). The record is from RNAcentral. Lineage: Eukaryota; Metazoa; Chordata; Mammalia; Rodentia; Sciuridae.
GCUGGGCCUGGUGGUGCACGCCUGUAAUCCCAGCAGCUUGGGAGGCUGAGUUAGGAUGAUUGUGAGUUCAAAGCCAGCCUCAGCAAAAUUAAGGGGCUAAGCAACUCAUUGAGAACCUGUCUCUA